CCCCCAUCCAUCCCCCCCUUCCCCCCAUCCCCCACCCAACCCCAUCUGCCCCCCAUCCCCCAUCCACAGCCACUGAGCCCCACAACCCACACCAAUGUGCUCAUCCCUAAACCCAUUGGGUUUUACCCUCCCCCACCCCCAUCCCUGAGCUCUCAUCCCUCUUCCCACCCCCUCUAUACACCCAGACCCCCCUUCAUACCCCCCCUUCCACACCCACACCCCCUCCCUGUGCCCCCCACCCAGGAGUAUCCGAGAGAUGCCCCCCGACCCCCCAUACGUCCCAGUAUCCUACAAAGCUCCGGAGCCUUGGGCAGAGCACAGCAGACCCCGAGCGCUGCCCCCCGUCCAACACAAACCUCCUUCAGACUACGAGACCAUGUCGGACCCUGAACGUGACGUGUUGGUCCUCAAUCACGUGCUGGGAGAUAUGGACCUUUUUGUGGGGCGGCUGCAGGGCAGCGCAGGGAGCACCAAAACCCCAAAGAAGAAGAAGAAGAAGAAGAAGAAGAAAGGUGGGGGGGUGAGGGGGGGGCAGUGCUCAGGGUGCGAUGGGGCUCUGGGGGCUCCUUCAGCGCCACCCCCUCUGUAUUCCUCCCCCCC
RNAcentral lists this long non-coding RNA (600 nucleotides) under Phasianus colchicus (ring-necked pheasant). RNAcentral's name for it is "lncRNA (ENSPCLG00000017134.1)". The record is from RNAcentral. Lineage: Eukaryota; Metazoa; Chordata; Aves; Galliformes; Phasianidae.